This is a long non-coding RNA of Chionomys nivalis (European snow vole), 734 nucleotides long. RefSeq lists it as uncharacterized. The record is from RefSeq and is a predicted model, not a curated record. The transcript is spliced from 5 exons. NCBI's taxonomy places the organism in Eukaryota, Metazoa, Chordata, Mammalia, Rodentia, Cricetidae.
UGCUGCAGAGGAAGAGGAGGUGGAGGCAAAUGUCUUCAGCACUAGAGCAAACAGGUCUCUUAAGACCUGAAGACAAGGCAAGACCUAGGGGCAAAGAACAUGGUGAGCGGCUGCCUCAUUAAAGCCACAGACAGCUCCCGCAAUUGUGCCUGCUCCGUAACUUGCUGAGGCAGCCCUUCAUCAAAAGACAACCUGGAGAACAAGAAAGUCACAAACCAGUUUUAGGCACAUCUGUGCGCACACGCACAGCAGCAGCUGCCGUAAGCAGACACGGAGUGUCUACAAGGGCACCUACCCUGGGAAGCUGCAGGAAGAAGUAAAACCAUGCUUGACAGCCAGUCACCGAAUGCCUAGAAGACUGGAGCUUACGAAUGUGUGAAGAGUCUCUUCCGGUCCAGGGCCACACGCUUCCUUCUGGUACCAAACUGUGCAGCGGUGCGUGUUCUCAGGAACUGUGUGCUGGACCCUAAACAGCUGGGCAGGGUCUACUGCAUGCAGCAGUCUAUAGAACCCUGUCUUCCACUCCAAAUCUAUUUCUGCAUCACCAGAUCUUUUAUGGCAGGACGAGGCAGGUGUUUUAAACUAAGAAAGCUUUCCUUCGGGUCAUACAGUAUUCCCCAUCACCUUCAAGAGACAUAUUUUAAGAUCCCAGGACACGGCAAAAACUACAGGACCCAUCAACUUUCUGGCGAGGAGUAAGGAUUCCCGAACAACUGGUGGACUAUUGACGGAAC